This 205-nucleotide long non-coding RNA is filed under the name Arachis ipaensis. RNAcentral's name for it is "long non-coding RNA (AIPA_LNC001048)". The record is from RNAcentral. Lineage: Eukaryota; Viridiplantae; Streptophyta; Magnoliopsida; Fabales; Fabaceae.
UUUUACUUUUUGACUUAUCUAUUUCUUUUGAAACUAAAGGGCUACUACCUAGGCCGGUUGAGAACAUACGACGUACAAGUUUACUAAAACAAAAAUGGAAAUAAACAUGGAGCAACAUAUACUUAAAUUAAGACAGUGCAUUAGUAUAUAACCUAUAUGACAAGUUCCAACAUCCGAAUAGUGCAAUAAAUUAAUAAAGUCAGUA